UGGGUUUCAUGGCUGUGGAUAUGGGACU
This 28-nucleotide non-coding RNA is filed under the name Homo sapiens (human). The record is from RNAcentral. Lineage: Eukaryota; Metazoa; Chordata; Mammalia; Primates; Hominidae.